AAAAAAUUAUACAUUUAUUUAUUUAGCAACCCUAGAACUUUCCAAAGUUUACUACAGUACACUUAGGAGCACACUACUAAGUUACCUUCAAUCAGGACCUCAUUCAAGGCCUCACCAACUUCAAAGUUACAUUUCUUUAAAAAGACACAAAGCUGAUUUAUUUAGUUAAGACUUUUAUUUUGAAUUACAGAAGCUUUAAUGGAAAAAGUGGUUUAUUAAAGCAUUUUCUUGUUUUCUCCCAGUUUAUACCUAGAAGGUAGAAAGGUUUAUGCCACUAGAACGAAAACAUGUAGUAUGUUAGAACACACAAAAAGAUGAAAGAUCCCAGUUCUGAGAGACUUCUUGUCCAUUACAGAAUCACCUUCUAUGAGAUCCACACAUUUUAGAAAUUCAAGCAAAAAAAAAAAAAUUGUGUCUACUUCCAACUGCAUUACGCAGCCCUGCAUUAAAAUCUGACAACCUCCAAGGAAGAAAGGUCAUUACUAAAAGGCAGCAAAUAUUCACCCUAUAUCAGUGCAUGAGAUCAUUAAGCAAAUGCCAGCAUCAACAUCUGCAGUAAGAUUUAAAAAAACACAACAGCUGUUUUGAAUUGUAUAUUCAUUUUCAAGUAGCAAGAACUUGGAGCCAAAGAG
Podarcis raffonei (Aeolian wall lizard) is the source of this 632-nucleotide long non-coding RNA. RefSeq lists it as uncharacterized. The transcript has 2 exons. NCBI's taxonomy places the organism in Eukaryota, Metazoa, Chordata, Lepidosauria, Squamata, Lacertidae. The record is from RefSeq and is a predicted model, not a curated record.